UUUGGAUCACCGAAGUUAAGCAUCAUUGGGCGCGGUCAGUACUUGGGUGGGUGACCACCUGGGAACACUGCGUGCCGUU
This is a non-coding RNA of Caerostris darwini, 79 nucleotides long. The record is from the annotation of a GenBank genome assembly. NCBI's taxonomy places the organism in Eukaryota, Metazoa, Arthropoda, Arachnida, Araneae, Araneidae.